This 72-nucleotide transfer RNA is filed under the name Ictidomys tridecemlineatus (thirteen-lined ground squirrel). RNAcentral's name for it is "Spermophilus tridecemlineatus (thirteen-lined ground squirrel) tRNA". It matches the Rfam family "tRNA". Rfam says of the family: Transfer RNA (tRNA) molecules are approximately 80 nucleotides in length. Their secondary structure includes four short double-helical elements and three loops (D, anti-codon, and T loops). The record is from Rfam by way of RNAcentral. Lineage: Eukaryota; Metazoa; Chordata; Mammalia; Rodentia; Sciuridae.
AGGGUUGUGGCUCAGUGGUAGAGCACUUGCUUAGCAUGCGAGAGGCACUGGGUUUGAUCCCCAGCACCACAU